This 350-nucleotide ribosomal RNA is filed under the name Microbacterium sp. LBBMA TRN10. RNAcentral's name for it is "bacterial SSU rRNA". It matches the Rfam family "Bacterial small subunit ribosomal RNA", at positions 144 to 482 of the family's 1533-position model. The record is from RNAcentral. Lineage: Bacteria; Bacillati; Actinomycetota; Actinomycetes; Micrococcales; Microbacteriaceae.
CGCCUUGGGAAAAACCGGGGCCGUUCCUUAAAUNACCUGGGAAUUAUUGGUUGACGUGACCGCAUGGUCUGCGUUUGGAAAGAUUUUUCGGUUGGGGAUGGGCUCUGCGGCCUAUCAGCUUGUUGGUGAGGUAAUGGCUCACCAAGGCGUCGACGGGUAGCCGGCCUGAGAGGGUGACCGGCCACAACUGGGACUGAGACACGGCCCAGACUGCCUAUCGGGAGGCAGCAGUGGGGAAUAUUGCGACAAUGGGCGGAAGCCUGAUGCAGCAACGUCCGCGUGAGGGAUGAUCGGGCUUUCGGGUUGUAAACCUCUUUUAGCAGGGAAGAAGCGAAAGUGACGGUACCUCA